GGGAAAUGUGCCUUCCGGGCCUGUGGCUGAGGGCGGAGGGAGUCAGGAGGAUCUCCUGUUGGUCCCUUCUCUUUCUCACUCUCUCUCUCCAUCUUUGUCCUGAGGACAGGGGGUAUAUAACCAGCAUAUAACCUGGAAGACAGAGGACGGGGGCCUAGGACUUCACUCUUACACGAAUGGAUUGCCUGUGGGAAAGGCCAACUCUAAGCUUUCAGAUAGGAUGGCCCAACUCAUCCAGGUUGGAGGUGAAACUUUCUGCUGUUUUACAAGACAAGCUUUUUUAUCUCCCCGCCCCAGGAACCUGUUUUGGGAGGAGGGGUUAAGGAUUCAAAACUCACAGUAUGUCAGAGGUGAAAGGGACCUUGGAUUGUCGGUCCAGUCCUUCACUUUACAAAUGAAUAAACUGAGGCUCACAGAGGAAGCAACUUGCCCAAGAUCCCUCAGCUGGCGCAGUAUUAAGCACCAGGAACACAAAGAUGAACAAGGCAUAGUGCCCAUCCUUGAAGAUUUACACGCAGCCAGCAAGGGAGCUUCUGGAGUUCUUUCUGCAGGAAUGAGAAGGAGGUUGAAUUCCCCCCUUCUCCCUUCUAAGUGUGACUUCCCACCUCAACUCGACCUAACUUGGACCCUCAGAUCUUGGCUCAACACGACACUCCUUCUGCUGGCCAUGCUUCCUCGCUUUGAGUCCACCAUUGCAGAAGAGUAGGCUGCCCUGAUCGCAGCUGCCACUCCUUCAGUCUGAAGAAGGAAAACGAAAGGAAGGCGUGGGGGAGAUGUAUUCCCAAAAAGAAAAAACUCUCUCCUCCUUGAUGUGUCAUGAAAGAUGCACAGGAUUUAAUGUCAGAAGACACAUACCAGACACGCAACUCUUCACUUAUGGUCUGUGUGAUCCCAGCCCCACUGAGCCUCAGUUUCCUUCCCUGUAAAAACUAAAUACAAAAGCUGUUUCAUUUAGUUGUUGUGAAGAUUAAUUUGAAAAAACAUAUGAACGAUCAUAACAAAGAGGCAAAUACUACACUGAGGCUACUACUGUUCUUUUCUCUUCCUGUUCCCCUCACACCUCUCAAGCGCAGGCAGGCCCGGGCCAAACCUGGGGAAAG
RNAcentral lists this long non-coding RNA (1100 nucleotides) under Equus caballus (horse). RNAcentral describes it as "lncRNA (ENSECAG00000040082.2)". Lineage: Eukaryota; Metazoa; Chordata; Mammalia; Perissodactyla; Equidae. The record is from RNAcentral.